This 63-nucleotide transfer RNA is filed under the name Staphylococcus aureus. RNAcentral describes it as "tRNA-Gly". It matches the Rfam family "tRNA", at positions 5 to 66 of the family's 71-position model. From Rfam's summary of the family: Transfer RNA (tRNA) molecules are approximately 80 nucleotides in length. Their secondary structure includes four short double-helical elements and three loops (D, anti-codon, and T loops). Further hydrogen bonds mediate the characteristic L-shaped molecular structure. tRNAs have two regions of fundamental functional importance: the anti-codon, which is responsible for specific mRNA codon recognition, and the 3' end, to which the tRNAs corresponding amino acid is attached (by aminoacyl-tRNA synthetases). tRNAs cope with the degeneracy of the genetic code in two manners: having more than one tRNA (with a specific anti-codon) for a particular amino acid; and 'wobble' base-pairing, i.e. permitting non-standard base-pairing at the 3rd anti-codon position. The record is from RNAcentral. Lineage: Bacteria; Bacillati; Bacillota; Bacilli; Caryophanales; Staphylococcaceae. RNAcentral also lists the same sequence under 1 other name.
AAGUAGUUCAGCGGUAGAAUACAACCUUGCCAAGGUUGGGGUCGCGGGUUCGAAUCCCGUCUU